UGGGGAAUAUUGGGCAAUGGGCGCAAGCCUGACCCAGCCAUGCCGCGUGAGUGAUGAAGGCCUUCGGGUCGUAAAGCUCUGUGGGGAGGGACGAAAAAAACAGACCUAAUACGUCUGGGCUUGACGGUACCUCCUUAGCAAGCACCGGCUAACUCCGUGCCAGCAGCCGCGGUAAUACGGGGGGUGCAAACGUUGCUCGGAAUCAUUGGGCGUAAAGCGCACGUAGGCGGUCUUGUAAGUCGGGUGUGAAAGCCCCGGGCUCAACCCGGGAAGUGCAUUCGAAACUGCAAGGCUUGAGUAUGGAAGAGGGUCUCGGAAUUCCCGGUGUAGAGGUGAAAUUCGUAGAUAUCGGGAGGAACACCAGUGGCGAAGGCGGAGACCUGGGCCAAUACUGACGCUGAGGUGCGAAAGCGUGGGGAGCAAACAGGAUUAGAUACCCCGGUAGUCC
This 448-nucleotide ribosomal RNA is filed under the name uncultured bacterium. RNAcentral describes it as "bacterial SSU rRNA". It matches the Rfam family "Bacterial small subunit ribosomal RNA", at positions 355 to 796 of the family's 1533-position model. The record is from RNAcentral.